Molecule: ribosomal RNA, 497 nt
Filed under: uncultured bacterium
Lineage: Bacteria
Description: partial 16S ribosomal RNA
Rfam family: Bacterial small subunit ribosomal RNA
Source: RNAcentral
GACGAACGCUGGCGGCGUGCCUAAUACAUGCAAGUUGAGCGCUGAAGGUUGGUACUUGUACCGACUGGAUGAGCAGCGAACGGGUGAGUAACGCGUGGGGAAUCUGCCUUUGAGCGGGGGACAACAUUUGGAAACGAAUGCUAAUACCGCAUAAAAACUUUAAACACAAGUUUUAAGUUUGAAAGAUGCAAUUGCAUCACUCAAAGAUGAUCCCGCGUUGUAUUAGCUAGUUGGUGAGGUAAAGGCUCACCAAGGCGAUGAUACAUAGCCGACCUGAGAGGGUGAUCGGCCACAUUGGGACUGAGACACGGCCCAAACUCCUACGGGAGGCAGCAGUAGGGAAUCUUCGGCAAUGGACGAAAGUCUGACCGAGCAACGCCACGUGAGUGAAGAAGGUUUUCGGAUCGUAAAACUCUGUUGGUAGAGAAGAACGUUGGUGAGAGUGGAAAGCUCAUCAAGUGACGGUAACUACCCAGAAAGGGACGGCUAACUACGUG